This 161-nucleotide ribosomal RNA is filed under the name Nicotiana simulans. RNAcentral's name for it is "5.8S ribosomal RNA". The record is from RNAcentral. Lineage: Eukaryota; Viridiplantae; Streptophyta; Magnoliopsida; Solanales; Solanaceae.
GUCUUUGAACGCAAGUUGCGCCCGAAGCCAUUAGGCCGAGGGCACGUCUGCCUGGGCGUCACGCAUCGCGUCGCCCCCGCACACCGCGCCCAUUCUCAUGGUUGCGGUGCUGUCGUGGGACGGAUACUGGCCUCCCGUGCUCCUCGAGCGUGCGGUUGGCC